AGGUAAAGUACAGAAAGUGGUGGCCACCUCAUAAGACUCAAUGCAAAGUGGGGAAGGCCAAGGGAAUUCGGUGUAACUCCGAAGCUGUGCCGCAACCGUAAAGCCGGGAGACCGACCACUAGAAAAGAGUCCCG
Molecule: non-coding RNA, 134 nt
Filed under: Candidatus Daviesiibacteriota
Lineage: Bacteria
Source: RNAcentral